UGAUUCUCCGACCAACGGGGGGGAAAGAGUGAUGAAGUUUUCUCCGGAUCGGGGGGGGAAAAAAUGUUGGGAAAACAAGUGCAAAGUAACUGCUUGCUUUUUUUUCCCCGGUACCUAACCAGAAAGCCACGGCUAACUACGUGCCAGCAGCCGCGGUAAUACGGUAGGU
RNAcentral lists this ribosomal RNA (169 nucleotides) under Bacillus subtilis. RNAcentral describes it as "partial 16S ribosomal RNA". Lineage: Bacteria; Bacillati; Bacillota; Bacilli; Caryophanales; Bacillaceae. The record is from RNAcentral.